GGCAUACCUCCAACAGAAGGGUCGGAGUCCAUGGGGGUUGGUUGUAGUAUUCUUUAAUGCAAGCAUGGUGCUCGCGUUAAACGGGUGCCUUUGGAUGCGGGUAUGCCCCACGGGAUGCAAAGCUAGGCAACAGGUGAUGCUAGCACUAUCCGUCCUUCGUAAUCCUCCACGUUCGGGAAUGACGUAAAAGUUCAUAAAUUGCAAUACCCACGCUAGCAGACCAGCAGGGGAUGAUCUCUCGGUAGUGCCUUGGUGCAUUGAACGAAGUCCUAACCAUGUGUAUGUAUGUGUAUGUGUAUGAUCUGUGAAUUAUCGGAAGUACAUAUGAACCUAGAGUAUUCUCAUGUCUUUCUCCGUAGUAGUAUUUAUUUGCGUUUGAUUCUCUUGUGUAUCACAAUACCUCCAUAUUAUCACUUACCCUCUUUUUUUUUACCUUGGUUGCUCAAUUAAGAUAUAUUUAUGAACAUAGUAACUCUUUUGAUAGCCGCCUUCCUUUGGGAUAAAAUAAAUAAUAAUAUUGGAAUACUCAUGGAUGUAAUGGUACAACGUUAUAUCCGUGCGCUUGCGGAUUUAUUUAUGAUCGUUAAAUAUACUAACAAUAUGUUUGAUCACCCAAGUCCAUUUUCUUUUAUCCAUGUGAUUAAACCUUGUAUACUCGCAAUCUCACAUGAAAAACGCAGCAGAAAGUAACAAGCUCACAUGAAAAGGCAACAAUAUUGCUUUACUCAUAUGGAUAAAGGAUCUUUCAUACCAGGUCAUAUCAACUUCUGAUAAGCAAUUUCAUCAUUUGUUGACACACAAUCACCAAAAUGAUUAAUGGUCUAGUUAAGACCAUUUUCCUUACACUGACCCCUCCUCC
This 859-nucleotide long non-coding RNA is filed under the name Setaria viridis. Its description in RNAcentral is "long non-coding RNA (SVIR_LNC010619)". Lineage: Eukaryota; Viridiplantae; Streptophyta; Magnoliopsida; Poales; Poaceae. The record is from RNAcentral.